RNAcentral lists this ribosomal RNA (1094 nucleotides) under uncultured fungus. RNAcentral's name for it is "eukaryotic LSU rRNA". The stretch from base 507 to 1094 matches the Rfam family "Eukaryotic large subunit ribosomal RNA", at positions 1 to 604 of the family's 3401-position model. Lineage: Eukaryota; Fungi. The record is from RNAcentral.
CGGAGGGAUCAUUACUGAGUUUACAACUCCCAAACCCCUGUGAACAUACCUUUUGUUGCUUCGGCGGGAUCGCCCCGGCGCCCUGUGUGCCGGAUCAGGCCCCCGCCGCAAGACCCAAAACUCUUGUUUUUAUAGUUAUUCUUCUGAGUGGCUUUAAGCAAAAAAUAAAUUAAAACUUUCAACAACGGAUCUCUUGGCUCUGGCAUCGAUGAAGAGCGCAGCGAAAUGCGAUAAGUAAUGUGAAUUGCAGAAUUCAGUGAAUCAUCGAAUCUUUGAACGCACAUUGCGCCCGCUAGUAUUCUGGCGGGCAUGCCUGUUCGAGCGUCAUUUCAACCCUCAGGACUCUUCGGAGAACUGGCGUUGGGGAUCAGCGUAGGCGCGGGUUCGCCCGCCUGCUGGCCCUGAAAUACAGUGGCGGUCUUGCUCUGACUCCCUUGCGUAGUAACUUACCUCGCCUGUGGAAGAAAAGCCUGACCACGCCGUAAAACCCCCUACUUUUUUAUGGUUGACCUCGAAUCAGGUAGGAAUACCCGCUGAACUUAAGCAUAUCAAUAAGCGGAGGAAAAGAAACCAACAGGGAUUGCCUCAGUAACGGCGAGUGAAGCGGCAACAGCUCAAAUUUGAAAUCUGGCCUUCGGGUCCGAGUUGUAAUUUGUAGAGGAUGCUUUUGGUGCGGUGCCUUCCGAGUUCCCUGGAACGGGACGCCAUAGAGGGUGAGAGCCCCGUCUGGUUGGACACCAAGCCUCUGUAAAGCUCCUUCGACGAGUCGAGUAGUUUGGGAAUGCUGCUCUAAAUGGGAGGUAUAUGUCUUCUAAAGCUAAAUACCGGCCAGAGACCGAUAGCGCACAAGUAGAGUGAUCGAAAGAUGAAAAGCACUUUGAAAAGAGGGUUAAAUAGUACGUGAAAUUGUUGAAAGGGAAGCGUUUAUGACCAGACUUGAGCUUGGUUGAUCAUCCGGUGUUCUCACCGGUGCACUCUUCUAGUUCAGGCCAGCAUCAGUUCAUCGCGGGGGAUAAAGGCAGUAGGAAUGUGGCUCCUCGGAGUGUUAUAGCCUAUUGUGUAAUACCCUGCUUUGGACUGAGGUUCGCGCUCCG